RNAcentral lists this ribosomal RNA (519 nucleotides) under uncultured bacterium. Its description in RNAcentral is "bacterial SSU rRNA". It matches the Rfam family "Bacterial small subunit ribosomal RNA", at positions 19 to 518 of the family's 1533-position model. The record is from RNAcentral.
AUGGCUCAGAACGAACGCUGGCGGCGUGCUUAACACAUGCAAGUCGAAACGCGAAAGGGACUUCGGUCCUGAGUAAAGUGGCGCACGGGUGAGUAACGCGUAGAUAACCUGUCUUCAUGUCUGGAAUAAUACGCCGAAAGGGGUACUAAUACCGGAUAUCUUGCUUUUCAUAAGUUAUGCAAGCAAAGGUGGCCUCUGCAUAUGCUACUGCAUGAAGAGGGGUCUGCGUACCAUUAGCUAGUAGGUGGGGUAAUGGCCUACCUAGGCGACGAUGGUUAGCGGGUCUGAGAGGAUGAUCCGCCACACUGGCACUGGAACACGGGCCAGACUCCUACGGGAGGCAGCAGUGAGGAAUAUUGCGCAAUGGGGGAAACCCUGACGCAGCGACGCCGCGUGAGUGAGGAAGGCCUUCGGGUCGUAAAGCUCUGUCAAGAGGAAAGAAGUGUACAAUGGCUAAUACCUGUUGUAUUUGACGGUACCUCUAAAGGAAGCACCGGCUAACUCCGUGCCAGCCGCGGC